GACGCUCUCGGAGCAGGCGCGCAGACCCGGCCGCAGCCCGCGUGCACGGGGAUACGGGGGGCGAGAACGCAGCCUCGCCGGGUGCGGAUGCCAGGGGAGGAUGCCGUCGCGGCGCCGGGCUCCGUUUCUCUCCCGCCGACCUUAGGGGCGAAGGCCACCUUGCCCGUCCCUCCCGCCGAGUGUGACCCGCUGCCCCGAGGCCCCACCACCAGGUUAAGAGAGAUGGAGAGCUCCACAAGGAUUUGGAGAAGAGUCCCAAUAAUUAUUAAAAUCCUGGACUAGAUCGAUUAGGAAAGGUAAAUGGACUAUAAGGCACUUGCCCAAGAAACUGCACUAGAAAUUUUAGGAUACAAUCAAGACACAACAGGCUGGAAAGUGGUUAAGACUUCAAAAAAGAUAACUGUUUCCAGCAAGGCUUCUAAAAAAUUCCAUGGAAAUCUAUAUCGUGUUGAAGGAGUGAUUCCAGAAUCGACAACUAACCUAUCUGAUUUCCUCUACAAACCUGAAAACAGAGUUACAUGGGAUAAAGCAUUAAAAGUGUACAAUAUGGUACACAGGAUUGAUUCGGACACAUGCAUAUGUCAUACCAUCACACAAAGCUUUGCCAUGGGCUCAAUCUCCCCCCGGGACUUUGUCGACUUAGUGUACUUCAAGCGCUGUGAAGGGAAUAUGGAUAUUAUCAGUUCUAACAGUGUGGAUUUUCCAGCAUAUCCUCCAUCUUCAAAUUAUGUCCGUGGUUAUAACCAUGCUUGUGGCUAUAUAUGUUCUCCUCUGCAAGAGAACCCAGCACAUUCCAAACUAGUGAUGUUUAUUCAGACAGAAAUGAGAGGAAAAUUGUCCCCAUCCAUAAUUGAAGCAACCAUGCCUUCCAACUUGGUAAGCUUCAUCCUCAAUGCAAAGGACGGAAUAAAGGCACUGAGAAGUCCAUCGGGAUGCGGACACCAUCAGGGUGGUCACUCAUCGUUCCUAAAGAAUUAAGGCCGUAGAAAGCAUGUGUGGCAAUGACUGCGGUUUACUUCCAAACCUUUUUUCUGAACGUGCUUAUUUAUGUACAUUGUGGAAAUCUGAUCCUGCUCUCUUCCAGUCUGCCAACAGCUCUUUUUGUACCUCUUCUGGUAGUUCAUAGAAAACUUCAGGAUCAACAUCAGAAGGAAAGAUUUUCCAGAAAGGAUUUCUUCUUGAAUAUCUACUGGAAGCUCCUUAAAGACUUCUUGGUCAAUACCUUCAGGAAGUGAGCGGAGUGGGAAUUCAUCACUGUCUUUUUCUUUAGAAAAAUCUGCAGUAUCUCGUGGAGCCUCCCCAGUUCUUGUACUUUCAAUUCUUCCAGAUGGUAGAAAAUCCCAAUUUGUUUCUUUGUCUUUGGGAAAAUCUUCCAUAUGACUGUCUUUCAUUUUCUAGGACACAAGAAUAACAGUAAUUAGAGGUAUCCGAUAUUUUUUAAAUAUUCAUGAUGCUGAAGAGGACUAUUACCUGACCAACACGUUUCUGUCCUACUCAAUAAUUUCAAUCCUUUUGGCCAAUUCCAAACAACGAGAGAUGAUAAAUCCACCACAUUAGUCACACUAUUGUGUGCAUCUUUCUUCACUAUUCAAGGGAGAGGUUUCCUUCCUAGAUAGUAUUGAGCCAGAAGAUAGGUAUGCAUCUGGAAACUUGGAAAGGACCUUAACAAUCAUGUUUUCAA
Canis lupus familiaris (dog) is the source of this 1681-nucleotide RNA transcript. It is a transcript of the gene named StAR related lipid transfer domain containing 6, with no coding region annotated. The record is from RefSeq and is a predicted model, not a curated record. NCBI's taxonomy places the organism in Eukaryota, Metazoa, Chordata, Mammalia, Carnivora, Canidae. The transcript is spliced from 10 exons.